Small nuclear RNA from Cavia aperea (Brazilian guinea pig), 107 nucleotides. The record is from Ensembl. NCBI's taxonomy places the organism in Eukaryota, Metazoa, Chordata, Mammalia, Rodentia, Caviidae.
GUGCUCACUUCGGCAGCACAUGUAAUAAAAUUGGAACGAUACAGAGAAGCUUACCAUGGCCCCUGUUCAAGGACGACAUACAAAUUCGUGAAGUGUUCCAUAUUUAA